UUCAUACUUCUGAACAUGAGGUUCCCUGCUCAGCUCCUGGGGCUCCUCCUGCUCUGGGUCUCGGGAUCCGAUGGGGCUAUUGUUCUGACCCAGACUCCACACUCCUUGUCUGUCAUCCCUGGAGAGACGGCCUCCAUCUCCUGCAGAGCCAGUCAGAGCCUUGAAGAUAGUUAUAGAAACAGUCUUUUGCACUGGUAUGUGCAGAAGCCCGGCCAGUCUCCACAACUCCUGAUCUAUGUAGCUUCUAACCAGGCCUCUGGAGUCUCAGACAGGUUCACUGGCAGUGGGUCAGGGACGGAUUUCACCCUCAAAAUCAGCAGGGUGGAGGCUGAGGAUGCUGGAGUUUAUUACUGCCAGCAAAAUAAAGAAACUCCUCCCACAGUGAUUCAGCCCCGAACAUAA
This is a non-coding RNA of Dama dama (fallow deer), 402 nucleotides long. The record is from the annotation of a RefSeq genome assembly. Lineage: Eukaryota; Metazoa; Chordata; Mammalia; Artiodactyla; Cervidae.